This 435-nucleotide ribosomal RNA is filed under the name uncultured bacterium. RNAcentral describes it as "partial 16S ribosomal RNA". It matches the Rfam family "Bacterial small subunit ribosomal RNA", at positions 29 to 507 of the family's 1533-position model. The record is from RNAcentral.
AACGAACGCUGGCGGCAUGCCUAACACAUGCAAGUCGAACGAUUGCCUUCGGGUGAUAGUGGCGCACGGGUGCGUAACGCGUGGGAAUCUGCCCUUAGGUUCGGAAUAACAGCUGGAAACGGCUGCUAAUACCGGAUGAUAUCGCGAGAUCAAAGAUUUAUCGCCUGAGGAUGAGCCCGCGUUGGAUUAGGUAGUUGGUGGGGUAAAGGCCUACCAAGCCGACGAUCCAUAGCUGGUCUGAGAGGAUGAUCAGCCACACUGGGACUGAGACACGGCCCAGACUCCUACGGGAGGCAGCAGUGGGGAAUAUUGGACAAUGGGCGCAAGCCUGAUCCAGCAAUGCCGCGUGAGUGAUGAAGGCCCUAGGGUUGUAAAGCUCUUUUAACCGGGAAGAUAAUGACUGUACCGGGAGAAUAAGCCCCGGCUAACUCCGUG